UGUUUAAUAUAAAUAUGUCAAUUGAAACAUUUAGGACAUACUUAUACUAAAA
Molecule: microRNA precursor, 52 nt
Filed under: Marmota monax (woodchuck)
Lineage: Eukaryota; Metazoa; Chordata; Mammalia; Rodentia; Sciuridae
Source: RNAcentral